Molecule: ribosomal RNA, 240 nt
Filed under: uncultured bacterium
Lineage: Bacteria
Description: partial 16S ribosomal RNA
Rfam family: Bacterial small subunit ribosomal RNA
Source: RNAcentral
UACGUAGGUGGCAAGCGUUGUCCGGAAUUAUUGGGCGUAAAGCGCGCGCAGGCGGUCCUUUAAGUCUGAUGUGAAAUCCCGUGGCUUAACCACGGGCGGUCAUUGGAAACUGGGGACUUGAGUGCAGAAGAGAAGAGCGGAAUUCCACGUGUAGCGGUGAAAUGCGUAGAGAUGUGGAGGAACACCAGUGGCGAAGGCGGCUCUUUGGUCUGUAACUGACGCGAGGCGCGAAAGGCCAGG